This 373-nucleotide ribosomal RNA is filed under the name uncultured organism. RNAcentral's name for it is "bacterial SSU rRNA". It matches the Rfam family "Bacterial small subunit ribosomal RNA", at positions 527 to 896 of the family's 1533-position model. The record is from RNAcentral.
CGGGGGAGCAAGCGUUGUUCGGAUUUACUGGGCGUAAAGGGACGCGUAGGCGGCGCAACAAGUCACUUGUGAAAUCUCCUGGCUCAACUAGGAGCGGCCAAGUGAUACUGUCGUGCUAGAGUGCGGAAGGGGCUACUGGAAUUCUCGGUGUAGCGGUGAAAUGCGUAGAUAUCGAGAGGAACACCUGCGGCGAAGGCGGGUAGCUGGGCCGACACUGACGCUGAGGCGCGAAAGCCAGGGGAGCGAACGGGAUUAGAUACCCCGGUAGUCCUGGCCUUAAACGAUGGAUACUUGGUGUCCGGGGUUACAUAGUCCCCGGGUGCCGGCGCUAACGCAUUAAGUAUCCCGCCUGGGGAGUACGGUCGCAAGACUG